GGCGCCAUGGCUUAGUGGUAAAGCCCCUGUCUAGUAAACAAGAGAUCCUGGGUUCGAUCCCAAGUGGUGCCU
Non-coding RNA from Ciona savignyi (Pacific transparent sea squirt), 72 nucleotides. NCBI's taxonomy places the organism in Eukaryota, Metazoa, Chordata, Ascidiacea, Phlebobranchia, Cionidae. The record is from Rfam.